Molecule: long non-coding RNA, 390 nt
Filed under: Salmo salar (Atlantic salmon)
Lineage: Eukaryota; Metazoa; Chordata; Actinopteri; Salmoniformes; Salmonidae
Description: lncRNA (ENSSSAG00000095427.1)
Source: RNAcentral
UGAACAGGAGACUACAGCAGGGUGUAAUAAACAGGACAGGAGACUACAGCAGGGUGUAAUGAACAGGAGACUACAGCAGGGUGUAAUGAACAGGACAGGAGACUACAGCAGGGUGUAAUAAACAGGACAGGAGACUACAGCAGGGUGUAAUGAACAGGAGACUACAGCAGGGUGUAAUAAACAGGACAGGAGACUACAGCAGGGUGUAAUGAACAGGAGACUACAGCAGGUUGUAAUAAACAGGACAGGAGACUACAGCCAGGGAUAUUUUCCACCUCAUAUAGAUGUUUCUACUCCAGAAAAGCGCCAUCCCUCCCCAUCCCCGACAGUGGCUUUUCUAGAAACAUCCUAAACAGUCAUAACGUAGCUGUUCUUUCUCCAGUUUUUACC